GUCAAGAAUCUUUCGCAAUGCCCGCAAGGGUGACGGAGCGACGCCGCGUGAUCGAUGAAGCUCUUCGGGGUGUAAAGAUCUUUUCCCAAGGAAGAACAAAUGACUGUACUUGGGGAAUAAGAGGUUGCUAACUCUGUGCCAGCAGCAGCGGUAAUACAGAGACCUCAAGCGUUAUCCGGAUUUAUUGGGCGUAAAGCGUGCGCAGGUGGUUUGUUAAGUAAGGGGUUAAAGCUUAGAGCUCAACUCUAAGAAAGCUUCUUAAACUAACAAACUAGAGGAUGGGAGAGGCAAACGGAAUUGCUGGUGAAGGGGUAAAAUCCGUUGAUAUCAGCAAGAACACCAAAUGCUAACGCAGUUUGCUAGAACAUUCCUGACACUGUUGCACGAAAGCGUGGGGAGCAAAGAGGAUUAGAAACCCCUGUAGUCC
This 427-nucleotide ribosomal RNA is filed under the name uncultured bacterium. RNAcentral's name for it is "bacterial SSU rRNA". It matches the Rfam family "Bacterial small subunit ribosomal RNA", at positions 354 to 796 of the family's 1533-position model. The record is from RNAcentral.